This 1081-nucleotide ribosomal RNA is filed under the name Clostridium botulinum. RNAcentral describes it as "bacterial SSU rRNA". It matches the Rfam family "Bacterial small subunit ribosomal RNA", at positions 86 to 1188 of the family's 1533-position model. The record is from RNAcentral. Lineage: Bacteria; Bacillati; Bacillota; Clostridia; Eubacteriales; Clostridiaceae.
AGUGGAUUAGCGGCGGACGGGUGAGUAACACGUGGGUAACCUGCCUCAAAGUGGGGGAUAGCCUUCCGAAAGGAAGAUUAAUACCGCAUAAUAUAAGAGAAUCGCAUGAUUUUUUUAUCAAAGAUUUAUUGCUUUGAGAUGGACCCGCGGCGCAUUAGCUAGUUGGUAAGGUAACGGCUUACCAAGGCAACGAUGCGUAGCCGACCUGAGAGGGUGAUCGGCCACAUUGGAACUGAGACACGGUCCAGACUCCUACGGGAGGCAGCAGUGGGGAAUAUUGCGCAAUGGGGGAAACCCUGACGCAGCAACGCCGCGUGGGUGAUGAAGGUCUUCGGAUUGUAAAGCCCUGUUUUCUGGGACGAUAAUGACGGUACCAGAGGAGGAAGCCACGGCUAACUACGUGCCAGCAGCCGCGGUAAUACGUAGGUGGCGAGCGUUGUCCGGAUUUACUGGGCGUAAAGGGUGCGUAGGCGGAUGUUUAAGUGGGAUGUGAAAUCCCCGGGCUUAACCUGGGGGCUGCAUUCCAAACUGGAUAUCUAGAGUGCAGGAGAGGAAAGCGGAAUUCCUAGUGUAGCGGUGAAAUGCGUAGAGAUUAGGAAGAACACCAGUGGCGAAGGCGGCUUUCUGGACUGUAACUGACGCUGAGGCACGAAAGCGUGGGUAGCAAACAGGAUUAGAUACCCUGGUAGUCCACGCCGUAAACGAUGGAUACUAGGUGUAGGGGGUAUCAACUCCCCCUGUGCCGCAGUUAACACAAUAAGUAUCCCGCCUGGGGAGUACGGUCGCAAGAUUAAAACUCAAAGGAAUUGACGGGGGCCCGCACAAGCAGCGGAGCAUGUGGUUUAAUUCGAAGCAACGCGAAGAACCUUACCUGGACUUGACAUCCCUUGCAUAGCCUAGAGAUAGGUGAAGCCCUUCGGGGCAAGGAGACAGGUGGUGCAUGGUUGUCGUCAGCUCGUGUCGUGAGAUGUUAGGUUAAGUCCUGCAACGAGCGCAACCCUUGUUAUUAGUUGCUACCAUUAAGUUGAGCACUCUAAUGAGACUGCCUGGGUAACCAGGAGGAAGGUGGGGAUGACGUCAA